RNAcentral lists this ribosomal RNA (428 nucleotides) under uncultured bacterium. RNAcentral describes it as "bacterial SSU rRNA". It matches the Rfam family "Bacterial small subunit ribosomal RNA", at positions 353 to 772 of the family's 1533-position model. The record is from RNAcentral.
AGUGGGGAAUAUUGCGCAAUGGGCGAAAGCCUGACGCAGCGACGCCGCGUGGGUGAUGAAGGCCUUCGGGUCGUAAAGCCCUGUCAAGAGGGACGAAACCUCGUCGACCUAACACGUCGGCGACCUGACGGUACCUCUGAAGGAAGCACCGGCUAACUCCGUGCCAGCAGCCGCGGUAAUACGGAGGGUGCAAGCGUUGUUCGGAAUCACUGGGCGUAAAGCGCGUGUAGGCGGCCUUCUCAGUCUGGUGUGAAAGCCCGGGGCUCACCCCCGGAAGUGCAUUGGAUACUGGAAGGCUGGAGUACCGGAGAGGAGGGUGGAAUUCCUGGUGUAGCGGUGAAAUGCGUAGAUAUCAGGAGGAACACCGGUGGCGAAGGCGGCCCUCUGGACGGAUACUGACGCUGAGACGCGACAGCGUGGGGAGCAAA